This 510-nucleotide ribosomal RNA is filed under the name uncultured bacterium. RNAcentral's name for it is "partial 16S ribosomal RNA". It matches the Rfam family "Bacterial small subunit ribosomal RNA", at positions 28 to 507 of the family's 1533-position model. The record is from RNAcentral.
GACGAACGCUGGCGGCGUGCUUAACACAUGCAAGUCGAACGAAGAGCGACGGAAGCUUGCUUCUAUCAAUCUUAGUGGCGAACGGGUGAGUAACGCGUAAUCAACCUGCCCUUCAGAGGGGGACAACAGUUGGAAACGACUGCUAAUACCGCAUACGAUCUAACCUCGGCAUCGAGGAUAGAUGAAAGGUGGCCUCUACAUGUAAGCUAUCACUGAAGGAGGGGAUUGCGUCUGAUUAGCUAGUUGGAGGGGUAACGGCCCACCAAGGCGAUGAUCAGUAGCCGGUCUGAGAGGAUGAACGGCCACAUUGGGACUGAGACACGGCCCAGACUCCUACGGGAGGCAGCAGUGGGGAAUCUUCCGCAAUGGACGAAAGUCUGACGGAGCAACGCCGCGUGAGUGAUGACGGCCGUCGGGUUGUAAAGCUCUGUUAAUCGGGACGAAAGGCCUUCUUGCGAAUAGUGAGAAGGAUUGACGGUACCGGAAUAGAAAGCCACGGCAAACUACGUG